Small nuclear RNA from Oryctolagus cuniculus (rabbit), 107 nucleotides. The record is from Ensembl. NCBI's taxonomy places the organism in Eukaryota, Metazoa, Chordata, Mammalia, Lagomorpha, Leporidae.
GUGCUUAUUUUGGCAGCAUAUAUACUAAAAUUGGAACAAUUCAGAGAAGAUUAGCAUGAUCUCUACACAAGGAUAACAGGAAAAUUUAUGAAGCAUUUCAUAUUUUG